Long non-coding RNA from Ctenopharyngodon idella (grass carp), 2485 nucleotides. RefSeq lists it as uncharacterized. The transcript is spliced from 5 exons. NCBI's taxonomy places the organism in Eukaryota, Metazoa, Chordata, Actinopteri, Cypriniformes, Xenocyprididae. The record is from RefSeq and is a predicted model, not a curated record.
CAGUAGUAAUGAGAAGUUGGUGCUGUCCUCACGGGUCAGGAUGGCCACCGCUUCCUCUCGGUUCUGAACUUCCAUCCCAUUUAUCUAAUGUGGAACAGACGGAGCCAUCACUCACAGCCACAUUCAAACACAAAAGGUUUUCCUUUGAUGGAGCUUUGACUUUGACAUCAAACAAUGAAACAGUUCUGGCCAUUUACACCCAGACCCACACAUACACUAAUGAGAACUGAUAAAGAGGGAGAGGACAUUGAAGACGCUCACAGGUCAUUCAGCAGGAAGUUUUGGAAGCUAAUGUCGGUCUGGGUGCCAUUGUCCACGCAGUCUGUGAUAGCCAUGAGCCGAGCCGUGCCAGCGGCCGCACCUAAUCUUCUCCUGUGACCCUUACGUACUACCUGAAGCAGCAGAGGAUCAUGAGGCUGCCCAUCCUUGUCCUGGGACAGGCCCCACUGCUGUUUUAAUUGAGGUCCAACCCGGGAAGCGGGAUCAGAGACGCUGUAGCAUCCAGCCGUGAGAAAGUCAAGGUUUGAUCUCUGAUGAAUGGAGCUUCUGAUGUCUGUGUGCUUUUACUCAGCUUUCAAUAUACUCCAACAUAUAUACUGGUUCAAUGUGACAGCCUUUAAAACUUCACCUAUGACAGAAUUAUGAUGACGGGAAUCAGACAGUAUUAUAUUACACAGAAAAUGUUUCAUAUCCCCAAAGUCUCUGCACUUGAAACAAGCAGCGAGCCGAGGAUUAAAUUCACAGAUCCCACCGUGUCAGAACAAUAUAAUCAAAGAUGAGAUCUGCUCAACGUAAACUCCCUGGUGCCAAAGUCGUAGACAAGUACAUGAAUUAUUAAAUAAAAGAUGCAAUAAACAAAUAUUUACUUUCCGCGCUCCGUAUUCCCCUGAGUGAUCCCUUCCUUCACUCUCUGUUUCUAUUAUUAGAGAGCUUGUUCCCUUCAUUUACAUAUAACAACACUCUGUAGGCGCAGACAUGCACGUCAUGCUAUUUGAAGUGCUUUAAAACAUGUUGCUCGAGUCUGUGACUAGUGCCUGCUGCAGUACUGACUUGUUAAGUAUUUCCGAUGUUAUUCUCUACAGUAAAACAUUCUUGCAAUUACAAGAUGCUCAUUAGCCUUCAGUAUAACUGCAAGUCUAAUGCCGUGCCUAAUUUCAUAUUCCCCCUGCAUAACAUGUUGUAUUUGACACCUGCAUGUAUUUAUCUACAAAAGCACUCUAUGACUGUGUCAUCAUCUUUUCCUCGUCCUCUAUAAAGUGGGGAUGUAAUCCCACCUCUCAUUUGCACUCACUGUGCAGAUAAGAGUCUGUCGUUCACAGAUCACAUCAAACCUGCCCUCUUCCUUUCUUCCUGGAAUUCCAGCUGCGUGUUCAUGGCAGAAAAUGAAUGAGCAAGUGCACCUGUCAGAUCAUGUCAGAAACAGCCUCUCUCGCACUACAGAGGUAAGCUCAGCUCUUUCUCCGAACCAGAUGUCAGUCUACAAGGACAGGUCUCUCCAUCACAUGACGGAGAGAUGAUUGAAAGGGAUGAAGUGGAGUCUUGGAAGUAUCUGAUCUUCAGCAGGGAAUGAAUUGAACGCUGCCCUUACAUCUGCUUAGCUUCCGAGAGAAAUCCAGAUUCAGGAGAGGUGCAUAUUAGUCCACUGCUAAAUGAUGUUCCCUUAUGUUUCUGCUCCUUGCGUCUGCAUAUUUGGGAUGUAAUCCAGCUUGCUUGAGCGUUUGAAGAUAAAUUAACUGGAGCUGUGCGUUUCCAACGAGAAAAACAAAGUCAUUCAGUCAGAUGGUGGGAUGGUGAAUCCGAAAAAUCCGUUUGAGAAUGUCUCAAGGCUGUGCUGGAGCGGCGCCAGCCCAGCGCUCGUACAUGUGUGUCUGCAGAGAGAGGAAAAGCUGCUGGGUUGGAGGAAAUGUGGGGAUCGGCACCACUGCACAAGCUGGAGCCCAUUACAGCUUUACAGCAGGCCCCUCCUCUCCCGGCAAUACCAGCCAAUAUUCACCAGCCAGCUCUCAACUCUCCCUCUCUCUCUCUCUCUCUCUCUCUCUCUCUCAGCCUCUCUCUUGUACUUAUAGAUGAUAGCUUCACCCUCCCACCUUCCUUUCCUGCUUCCCUCAUAUCUUAUUUCCCAGCCCCUCGUUGCUGUGUCUCUCUCUUUCUCUCUGUCACCUGUACUGGGAGACGCUCUUUGUUGCCUGUGGUGAAAGGGGCUGAGGAUGCUGUCAGUCUCUGGCUGUCAGCACACAAACAGAAUUUAUGACCACAUAGACCAAGCAGCUUUGAGUAGCGUGACACUUCCUUGUGGCCAAUCUUUUUUUGUCUGAAAGCUUGCAACCAUACUUCAAGAAUGUUUGCAAUAAUGUACAAAUGUUAUUCAUAAUACAAAAAUGAAUGAAAUUUAAAAAAAUGUUUAUUUUAAUUAUUAUUUUUGUUUUUGUUAAAAUAAUAAUGGUGUACUCAGUCAUUUUUCCUCAUUAAAAAGAAAUGAUUAGUA